AGUGAUGGAACUCGUGUUAUUACUGCCUCCAGUGAUUGUACAGUCAAGGUUUGGGAUGUGAAGAGUACAGAGUGUAUACAUACAUUUAGGCCACCGCCUCCAUUGAGGGGAGGUGAUGCUUCUGUGAACUCUGUUCAUCUUUUCCCAAAGAACACAGAUCACAUUGUUGUUUGUAAUAAGACAUCAUCGAUAUGCAUCAUGACCCUUCAAGGACAGGUUGUGAAGAGUUUCUCAUCUGGUAAAAGAGAAGGUGGAGAUUUUGUCGCAGCAUGUUUGUCACCAAAAGGGGAAUGGAUAUAUUGUGUUGGUGAAGACAGGAAUACGUACUGCUUCAGCCACCAAUCUGGUAAACUAGAGCAUCUGAUGAAGGUUCAUGAGAAAGAUGUAAUAGGUGUGACUCACCAUCCCCAUCGGAAUCUCAUUGCAACAUACAGUGAAGAUUGUACAAUGAAAUUAUGGAAGCCUUGAAUUGCCCUUAUGUUGAUCCUUUUUAAAUUCUCUCGUAAAGACAAUUUUUUGCCCUACAUCAACUUUUCAUGUUCCAUCGGCUUUGAAACAGUAAUGUACUUGCAUCUAUCAUUCUCAACUGAAGGGGACUAGAACAUUGUGGCCAACUAGCCUUAGAAAUUUCAAUUCCAUUUUCUUGUACAGGUAACAAAUUAAGGAUCAUUUCUUUUUAC
RNAcentral lists this unclassified non-coding RNA (680 nucleotides) under Hevea brasiliensis (rubber tree). Lineage: Eukaryota; Viridiplantae; Streptophyta; Magnoliopsida; Malpighiales; Euphorbiaceae. The record is from RNAcentral.